UGCAAGUCGAACGAUCCAGCAAUGGAUAGUGGCAGAAGGGUUAGUAACGCGUGGGCAAUCUACCCUCGAUUCGGGGAUAACCUUCCGAAAGGAGGGCUAAUACCGAAUAACAUUCACCGAACGCAUGUUUGGUGACUCAAAGGCGGGGACCGCAAGGCCUGCCGAUUGAGGAGGAGCCCGCGUCCUAUCAGCUAGUUGGUGAGGUAACGGCUCACCAAGGCUUUUGACGGGUAGCUGGUCUAAGAGGACGAUCAGCAACACUGGGACUGAGACACUGCCCAGACUCCUACGGGAGGCUGCAGUCGAGGAUCUUUACCAAUGCUCGAAAGGGUGAGUAUGCGACGCCGCGUGCAGGAUGAAGGCCUUCGGGUCGUAAACUGCUUUCAGGGGUGAGGAAAACUUACGCGUGAACAGCGCGUGAGCUUGACGUUAACCCCAGAAGAAGCCACGGCUAACUCUGUGCCAGCAGCCGCGGUAAUACAGAGGUGGCAAGCGUUGUUCGGAUUUAUUGGGUGUAAAGGGUAGGUAGGCGGUUGCGUAAGUCUGUGGUGAAAUCCCGGAGCUUAACUCCGGAACUGCCAUGGAAACUGCGCGGCUAGAGUACCGGAGAGGUGAGGGGAAUUCCUGGUGUAAGGGUGAAAUCUGUAGAUAUCAGGAGGAAUACCGAUGGCGAAGGCACCUCACUGGCCGGUCACUGACGCUGAGCUACGAAAGCUGGGGGAGCAAACAGGAUUAGAUACCCUGGUAGUCCCAGCCUUAAACGAUGUAGAUUAGACGUCGGAGGAGUCGAUCCCUUCGGUGUCUCAGUUAACACAUUAAAUCUACCACCUGGGGAGUACGGUCGCAAGACUGAAACUCAAAGGAAUUGACGGGGACCCGCACAAGCGGUGGAGCAUGUGGUUUAAUUCGAGGCUACGCGAGGAACCUUACCUGGGCUUGACAUACUAGGAGUAGGCCUGAUGAAAGUCGGGCCGACUGUAUCCAAUCAGAGCUUAGUACAGGUGCUGCAUGGCUGUCGUCAGCUCGUGCUGUGAAGUGUCGGGUUAAGUCCCACAACGAGCGCAACCAUUGCCGUUAGUUGCCAGCGGGUAAUGCCGGGGACUCUAGCGGGACUGCCUGUUUUAAGCCGGAGGAAGGUGGAGAUGACGUCAAGUCAGCAUGGCCCUUACGCCCAGGGCUACACACGUGCUACAAUGGCCGGUACAAUGGGCAGCGAACCCGCGAGGGGGAGCAAAUCUCAAAAAGCCGGCCCCAGUUCAGAUUGCAGGCUGCAAUUCGCCUGCAUGAAGCCGGAAUCGCUAGUAAUGGCGUAUCAGAUAUGACGCCGUGAAUACGUUCCCGGGUCUUGUACACACCGCCCGUCAAGCCACCUGAGUCGGUGGUACCCUAAGUCGUUUACCCAACCGCAAGGAGGGAAACGCCCAAGGUAAAACCGGUGAGGAGGGCUAAGUCGUAACAAGGUA
RNAcentral lists this ribosomal RNA (1463 nucleotides) under metagenome. RNAcentral's name for it is "bacterial SSU rRNA". It matches the Rfam family "Bacterial small subunit ribosomal RNA". The record is from RNAcentral.